This 253-nucleotide ribosomal RNA is filed under the name uncultured bacterium. RNAcentral describes it as "partial 16S ribosomal RNA". It matches the Rfam family "Bacterial small subunit ribosomal RNA", at positions 524 to 776 of the family's 1533-position model. RNAcentral also lists the same sequence under 2 other names. The record is from RNAcentral.
UACGUAGGGUGCAAGCGUUGUCCGGAAUUAUUGGGCGUAAAGAGCUCGUAGGCGGUUCGUCGCGUCGGCUGUGAAAUCCCGAGGCUCAACCUCGGGUCUGCAGUCGAUACGGGCGGACUGGAGUUCGGCAGGGGAGACUGGAAUUCCUGGUGUAGCGGUGAAAUGCGCAGAUAUCAGGAGGAACACCGGUGGCGAAGGCGGGUCUCUGGGCCGAUACUGACGCUGAGGAGCGAAAGCGUGGGGAGCGAACAGG